GGAGCUUGCAUCUCAGCUGGAAGGCCAAGAAAGACAGCAACUGGCUUUUAGAGACAAACAUGGUUGAUUUCACAGUUGCAAGCUCUGAUUUAAGUCAGAAUAAAAAGCUACAUGAAAUCAACUAAAAGGAGUCUGCUGUCUGGUGCUCCAACAAUUAGUUGAAAGGCUCCUACUUUGAAAAUAAUUCACAGCCCCCUCAUCUUUUAAGCUGAUGCUGCUCAAACUACAACCAAGGAACAGUUCCUCUUCUGUCCUGUGAAUUGUUUGUAACCAGUCCACAAUGAGAACCUGGACAAAGCCCCAGCUAAUGUCCUGCCUAUGGCAACUAAGCAAAUUGACAACAGAGCCAGGAGAACAUAGAGGACAAGUUGAACAACGUUGUGUAGGGGUGAUGACUGCAUCCACCAAGUCACCUAAACUAGAAAUCUGCAAACCUUUUGUCACCAAGUCACCUCCAGCCAGUGACCAAGCCUUGACAAUUAUGCUUCCUUAGUAUCUCUUAGACCUUUCUCUCUAGUCAAACUCCUGUUCCUAAAUGUAGACUCUUAUCCGCUCUGCCUGGAAAACUGCUCCUGGCUUUCAAACCCUUGAAUAGCUGUCCAUUGCUUAAGAAAUAUACAUCCUCUAGACCUGGCCUCUGUCUACCUAGCUGCAUUGGGCACACCAUUCCAUUAUCACUCAAGCCCUGAACUCUUGAGAUGUGUUACUUAUUUUUAAUAUUGUUACUUGAAAAUGUUUAAAUCUAGAGGCCCUGAAUUGGCUUAUAUGGAUCCACCAGUUACCUUUGUUAUAUAGAUCAGAAAACUUGGAGAAAAAAAAAAGAAAAGAAAAGAAAACACGGUCUUUAUUUGUUUUGCUCAAACAUGGAUUCCUAUCUAAAGUGUACCCUUCUCUCUUUUUAAAUUGUGCUCUUCUUGAAAGCAAGGACAUUAGACAAAAUAUAUUUCUAUCACUCCUGCAGUGCCCUACAUGUAGUAGGUGCUCAAUAAAUAUAUUUUAACAAAGUCA
RNAcentral lists this long non-coding RNA (1008 nucleotides) under Vulpes vulpes (red fox). RNAcentral describes it as "lncRNA (ENSVVUG00000019011.1)". The record is from RNAcentral. Lineage: Eukaryota; Metazoa; Chordata; Mammalia; Carnivora; Canidae.